AGAUGAGAUUUCCCUUAGCGCAAGCUAGUAAGAUCCCUGAAAGAUGAUCAGGUAGAUAGGUUCGGGGUGGAAGCGUGGCGACACGUGGAGCUGACGAAUACUAAUCGAUCGAGGACUUAACCAAAA
RNAcentral lists this ribosomal RNA (126 nucleotides) under Bacillus aerolatus. Its description in RNAcentral is "Bacillus sp. CX253 partial 23S ribosomal RNA". It matches the Rfam family "Bacterial large subunit ribosomal RNA", at positions 2802 to 2925 of the family's 2925-position model. Lineage: Bacteria; Bacillati; Bacillota; Bacilli; Caryophanales; Bacillaceae. The record is from RNAcentral.